UGCCUCAGUAACGGCGAGUGAAGCGGCAACAGCUCAAAUUUGAAAUCUGGCCCCCUCGGGGCCCGAGUUGUAAUUUGUAGAGGAUGUUUCGGGUGUGGCUCCGGUCUAAGUUCCUUGGAACAGGACGUCAUAGAGGGUGAGAAUCCCGUAUGUGACUGGCAGCCUACGCCCAUGUGAAACUCCUUCGACGAGUCGAGUUGUUUGGGAAUGCAGCUCAAAAUGGGUGGUAAAUUUCAUCUAAAGCUAAAUAUUGGCCAGAGACCGAUAGCGCACAAGUAGAGUGAUCGAAAGAUGAAAAGCACUUUGGAAAGAGAGUUAAACAGUACGUGAAAUUGUUGAAAGGGAAGCGCUUGCAACCAGACUUGCGUGCGGCCGAUCAUCCGGUGUUCUCACCGGUGCACUCGGUCGUGCUCAGGCCAGCAUCGGUUUCGGCGGCUGGAUAAAGGCCAUGGGAAUGUAGCUCCUCUCGGGGAGUGUUAUAGCCCGUGGUGCAAUGCAGCCCGCUGGGACCGAGGACCGCGCUUCGGCUAGGAUGCUGGCGUAAUGGUUGUAAGCGACCCGUCUUGAAACACGGACCAAGGAGUCUAACAUCUAUGCGAGUGUUUGGGUGUCAAACCCAUACGCGGAAUGAAAGUGAACGGAGGUGAGAACCCUUAAGGGUGCAUCAUCGACCGAUCCUGAUGUCUUCGGAUGGAUUUGAGUAAGAGCAUAGCUGUUGGGACCCGAAAGAUGGUGAACUAUGCCUGAAUAGGGUGAAGCCAGAGGAAACUCUGGUGGAGGCUCGCAGCGGUUCUGACGUGCAAAUCGAUCGUCAAAUUUGGGUAUA
RNAcentral lists this ribosomal RNA (826 nucleotides) under Darkera picea. RNAcentral describes it as "eukaryotic LSU rRNA". It matches the Rfam family "Eukaryotic large subunit ribosomal RNA", at positions 76 to 919 of the family's 3401-position model. Lineage: Eukaryota; Fungi; Ascomycota; Leotiomycetes; Phacidiales; Phacidiaceae. The record is from RNAcentral.